AACGAACGCUGGCGGCAGGCUUAACACAUGCAAGUCGAACGCCCCGCCAGUGGGAGGGUGGACUGGCGGGUAACGCGUGGGAAUCUACCGAUCCCUACGUAAUAACGCAUGUAAACGUGUGGUAAUACCUUGUGCGCCCUACGGUGGUAAGGUUUACGUGGGAUGGAUGAGCCCGGGUUGGCUUAGCUAGUUGGUGGGGUGAAGGCGUACCAAGGCGACGAUCCAUAGCUGGUAUGAGAGGAUGAUCAGCCACACUGGCACUGGGACACGGCCCAAACUCCUACGGGAGGCAGCAGUGGGUAAUCUUGGACAAUGGGCGCAAGCCUGAUCCAGCCAUGCCGCGUGAGUGAUGAAGGCCUUAGGGUUGUACAGCUCUUUCACCGGAGAAGAUAAUGACGGUAUCCGGAGAAGAAGCCCCGGCUAACUUCGUG
RNAcentral lists this ribosomal RNA (431 nucleotides) under uncultured bacterium. Its description in RNAcentral is "partial 16S ribosomal RNA". It matches the Rfam family "Bacterial small subunit ribosomal RNA", at positions 29 to 507 of the family's 1533-position model. The record is from RNAcentral.